RNAcentral lists this ribosomal RNA (261 nucleotides) under Triticum aestivum (bread wheat). Its description in RNAcentral is "partial small subunit ribosomal RNA". The record is from RNAcentral. Lineage: Eukaryota; Viridiplantae; Streptophyta; Magnoliopsida; Poales; Poaceae.
GGAAGAAAAAAUAGCAAGUUAACUCAAAGAAUUUAUCACACAAAUAGUCAAUUUGUUAGAACUUGCUUAGUAGUGAAUUGGGAACAAGAAGAAAAAGAAAAGGCUGGUGCUUCCCUUGUUGAGGUAAGAGCAAAUGAUCUUAUUCGCGAUUUCCUUUUAAGGGAAAGAAGGAAAAAGGCAGAUUCAAAAUCUUUUUUCUUCGGACUUUCCCAAACACAAAAUACCUCCUUGUAUUCGCACUCUCAAAUGAGAGUGCCAUAA